GUGACGACAUCGCGAGAGAACAGUCGAAGAAGGGGGGCAAGAAGAAGAAGAAGAACAAAUUCUUCCAUUACUAUGCCAUGCGGUGUGGCAUUCCUCGCGAGGAUGUCCAUACGCAUUGGGACAAGAUAUCAAAACAACUCAAGGGUCAUUUAGGUUGCUUAGGGGUGGAUCUUGAGAGGGAAAAAAGAGACGAGAGAAAUAGAGAGAGUUUGAUUGCCGACAGACAGAAAGAAAUCGAAAAGUUGGAGGGGGAUUUGGCCAAGAUGAAUUUACAACUAAGCCUAUCCUACGGACAAGGUCAACAAGAGAUACAAAACGAAUUUCGGACAAUAAUUAAAGUGUUAGUUUUUCUCAACGGCAAACAUCUGAAACAUCUGCAAAAUUUGCCAAAAAUUGAACCUGGAUAAUUCUGGAAAA
Molecule: long non-coding RNA, 417 nt
Organism: Symsagittifera roscoffensis
Lineage: Eukaryota; Metazoa; Xenacoelomorpha; Acoela; Convolutidae
Exons: 3
Source: RefSeq, a predicted model, not a curated record